GACGUAGGAUGCGAGCGUUGUCCGGAUUUAUUGGGCGUAAAGAGCUCGUAGGCGGCUCAGUAAGUCAGGUGUGAAACCUCCAGGCUCAACCUGGAGACGCCACCUGAUACUGCUGUGGCUAGAGUCCGGUAGGGGAGCGUGGAAUUCCUGGUGUAGCGGUGAAAUGCGCAGAUAUCAGGAGGAACACCAGCGGCGAAGGCGGCGCUCUGGGCCGGAACUGACGCUGAGGAGCGAAAGCGUGGGUAGCAAACAGG
This 254-nucleotide ribosomal RNA is filed under the name uncultured bacterium. RNAcentral describes it as "partial 16S ribosomal RNA". It matches the Rfam family "Bacterial small subunit ribosomal RNA", at positions 524 to 776 of the family's 1533-position model. The record is from RNAcentral.